UUGGGGCAGUAACAUCAAAGCAUGUUGAAUGCUGUUCUCGAUGAUGUUUUCCACUCUCGAUGGUGGGGGAGAUACCGUCACCAUCCUUUGUCUGUGGCCUCGGGCUAGCGAAGACAUCAUUGACCGAAUUCUCGAUCACUUGAGGGAGCAGGUCGACCUCUAUGGGAGGUCAGAGGAUUGGAUUCUAGUGUUCUCCUUAAGGGUCGUCAGGGUGGAUCUAUGGAAAAGGGCAUUAGGUGCCUUCAUGAAGUCACAGAAAUCUUGCGGUCCCUCCAAAGGAGGACCAAUGGGUCUGGCCUACCAUUGUCGGUGAUUCCGAUCUACCUGGCACCAGAGGGGUCACUUUCAUGAAAUCCCAAGGGCCUCGUGUGUUCGUCGUGGCAUGCUUUGGGUAAUGAUGGUGCUAUUGAGGUAGGCGGCUUGGGCCUUUGGCCAUCAAUUUUGGUAAUUUUUGAGAUCACUCGUUUGGCAACACCUAUUGCCUGGUCAGCGGGAGUGGUUGGGAGAGUUUAGCCUUGGCCUUCCUUAUAAAGGACUCCUCCCCCUUAGGCCAAGGUUCAUCGGCGACCUCCCAUGCUGCAGUGAUGCUGUUCUGCCACUACUGAGAGA
This 609-nucleotide long non-coding RNA is filed under the name Elaeis guineensis (African oil palm). Its description in RNAcentral is "long non-coding RNA (EGUI_LNC033951)". The record is from RNAcentral. Lineage: Eukaryota; Viridiplantae; Streptophyta; Magnoliopsida; Arecales; Arecaceae.